GUUUUGUACUGUUUCUUUAUUUUUUUGGCUGAGAUGGGUUGUGGGGAUGUGAGAGAAGGAGGCAAUGGCCUGGGCCGGAAGACAGAAGGGGAGUGAGAUGGAGAGAGCUGGAUGAAAACUGGGAGUCAACCAAAAAGGGCUACAGUAGCCAUUUUGAGAAGAAUUGUCCCAGUCAACUUUAGAGCUGAUGGAAACAGGACAAGAAAACUGAUCUCAGAUCUUUGUUGUUGAGUCUAGAAGUGGAACCAGACUGUCUUCCUACCCCCUUCCUGCACCUGAGCAGCUCACCAUCUCCAGAGGAAAGCACGCAAUUGACUCCAUCUCAUUUUCCAGCCUGGAGGCCCCUUGAAGAGAACAACCACACCGAGUGGAGUUUUGUCUCACAAUUUGGGGCAGGCUUUGACGAGGUUCACACUGUGAGCAGGAGGAAAACCAGAAGCUCAGCGUUACUCCUGUUCUGUCAUACUUCUCACACUUCCUCACCAAAGUGGUCCCCAAAGCAGAAGAAAUGGACGGUAUGGGAUGCUGUCGCUGAACACGUCCUGCGGAAGCGUGACAUUUCUAUUAAGUAUUCAAAAUUUGUUUAUCUUAAAAUGUGUGCAAAUUUAGUGUAUCAUUCCAUUACAUAUUUGCUUCAAUAUUAUCUUUUUAAAUAACCUACC
Molecule: long non-coding RNA, 662 nt
Organism: Equus quagga
Lineage: Eukaryota; Metazoa; Chordata; Mammalia; Perissodactyla; Equidae
Exons: 4
Source: RefSeq, a predicted model, not a curated record